UAGGGAAUCUUCGGCAAUGGACGAAAGUCUGACCGAGCAACGCAGCGUGAGUGAAGAAGGUUUUCGGAUCGUAAAACUCUGUUGUUAGAGAAGAACAAGGACGUUAGUAACUGAACGUCCCCUGACGGUAUCUAACCAGAAAGCCACGGCUAACUACGUGCCAGCAGCCGCGGUAAUACGUAGGUGGCAAGCGUUGUCCGGAUUUAUUGGGUGUAAAGCGAGCGCAGGCGGUUUCUUAAGUCUGAUGUGAAAGCCCCCGGCUCAACCGGGGAGGGUCAUUGGAAACUGGGAGACUUGAGUGCAGAAGAGGAGAGUGGAAUUCCAUGUGUAGCGGUGAAAUGCGUAGAUAUAUGGAGGAACACCAGUGGCGAAGGCGGCUCUCUGGUCUGUAACUGACGCUGAGGCUCGAAAGCGUGGGGAGCAAACAGG
Molecule: ribosomal RNA, 429 nt
Filed under: Gemmatimonadota bacterium
Lineage: Bacteria; Pseudomonadati; Gemmatimonadota
Description: Gemmatimonadetes bacterium partial 16S ribosomal RNA
Rfam family: Bacterial small subunit ribosomal RNA
Source: RNAcentral